Oncorhynchus keta (chum salmon) is the source of this 625-nucleotide long non-coding RNA. RefSeq lists it as uncharacterized. Lineage: Eukaryota; Metazoa; Chordata; Actinopteri; Salmoniformes; Salmonidae. The record is from RefSeq and is a predicted model, not a curated record. The transcript is spliced from 3 exons.
UCUUGGACAAGGAGAGCUCUCCUUCAAGAAGGGAAUAGACCCAAAUUGGGCGAUAGCUAACAAUAAAACCAUUAGCAUGAAUUUCGUCAACAACAAGUACAACAUUACAAAUAUUUUCCGAGAUGUGAGAUAAUUCACUUGUUCUCUGUAAUAUCAUAUAGCUUUGGAAUUGUUACAUUAUGUACUUCCGAGGAAAAUCGGCAGGUUUCUCAACUCUUGGUGACUUUAAGACAACUGGAAACUGGUAAAAACCUUGGUCAAAUCAUGACGUCGGUGAUUUCCAGGUCGUACUGAUGGCCGUGCUGCAUAGGCAAGAUGCAGUAGAUGCAUGGUAAGCGGUACCGGAGUGCCACAUCUAGGACAAAAAGGCUUCUCAAGAGUUUUUACCCCCAAGCCAUAAGACUCCUGAACAGAGAUUGGACAUUGGCGAGUCUGACCAGUCGGCCUUCUGAGUCUGACCAGUAGGCCACUCCAUCUGCCUCUCCUGUGGCGACUAUGUUGUUUUGGGUCGGCCUCUGGGAUAAGAUCGCAUGGCCAGGGUGGAGGUCCGAACCAAGAAUCCUCUUCGGGAAAGACGUAUUCCUGGUCGUAAUGAUGGUAAGUUGACAUCGCUUUUAUAUAGUUC